RNAcentral lists this ribosomal RNA (497 nucleotides) under uncultured bacterium. RNAcentral describes it as "partial 16S ribosomal RNA". It matches the Rfam family "Bacterial small subunit ribosomal RNA", at positions 28 to 507 of the family's 1533-position model. The record is from RNAcentral.
GAUGAACGCUGGCGGCGUGCCUAAUACAUGCAAGUCGAGCGAACAGACGAGGAGCUUGCUCCUCUGACGUUAGCGGCGGACGGGUGAGUAACACGUGGAUAACCUACCUAUAAGACUGGGAUAACUUCGGGAAACCGGAGCUAAUACCGGAUAAUAUAUUGAACCGCAUGGUUCAAUAGUGAAAGACGGUUUUGCUGUCACUUAUAGAUGGAUCCGCGCCGCAUUAGCUAGUUGGUAAGGUAACGGCUUACCAGGGCAACGAUGCGUAGCCGACCCGAGAGGGUGAUCGGCCACACUGGAACUGAGACACGGUCCAGACUCCUACGGGAGGCAGCAGUAGGGAAUCUUCCGCAAUGGGCGAAAGCCUGACGGAGCAACGCCGCGUGAGUGAUGAAGGUCUUCGGAUCGUAAAACUCUGUUAUUAGGGAAGAACAAAUGUGUAAGUAACUAUGCACGUCUUGACGGUACCUAAUCAGAAAGCCACGGCUAACUACGUG